ACGGGUGCGUAACGCGUGGGAAUCUGCCCUCAGGUUCGGAAUAACCAUUGGAAACGAUGGCUAAUACCGGAUGAUGACGUUAAGUCCAAAGAUUUAUCGCCUGAGGAUGAGCCCGCGUAGGAUUAGCUAGUUGGUGUGGUAAAGGCGCACCAAGGCGACGAUCCUUAGCUGGUCUGAGAGGAUGAUCAGCCACACUGGGACUGAGACACGGCCCAGACUCCUACGGAAGGCAGCAGUGGGGAAUAUUGGACAAUGGGCGCAAGCCUGAUCCAGCAAUGCCGCGUGAGUGAUGAAGGCCUUAGGGUUGUAAAGCUCUUUUACCCGGGAUGAUAAUGACAGUACCGGGAGAAUAAGCUCCGGCUAACUCCGUGCCAGCAGCCGCGGUAAUACGGAGGGAGCUAGCGUUGUUCGGAAUUACUGGGCGUAAAGCGCACGUAGGCGGCUUUGUAAGUUAGAGGUGAAAGCCUGGAGCUCAACUCCAGAAUUGCCUUUAAGACUGCAUCGCUUGAAUCCAGGAGAGGUGAGUGGAAUUCCGAGUGUAGAGGUGAAAUUCGUAGA
This 558-nucleotide ribosomal RNA is filed under the name uncultured bacterium. Its description in RNAcentral is "bacterial SSU rRNA". It matches the Rfam family "Bacterial small subunit ribosomal RNA", at positions 102 to 694 of the family's 1533-position model. The record is from RNAcentral.